This 478-nucleotide long non-coding RNA is filed under the name Nicotiana benthamiana. Its description in RNAcentral is "long non-coding RNA (NBEN_LNC026164)". Lineage: Eukaryota; Viridiplantae; Streptophyta; Magnoliopsida; Solanales; Solanaceae. The record is from RNAcentral.
CGGCUUCGUAACCCUUGCAUAUUUCUCCAAACUCUUUACCUUCCUAUAUAUCUCCUCUUGCUCUAUGUUCUUGGGUGGUUUCUCAAUUUCAACAUGAGGCUCAAGGUGGAGAGUGUAGGACUAAGGAUCUAGGACUUUGAAGGUAGGUUCUGAGGCAUAGUAUUGGGUAUCUGGAACUGGGAAUGCAAUUGUUUUAGCUGGUGGAGCAUGGAAAGUUCGGGAGGAAGUGCCGGGGUGGUAGUUGUGGUAUGAGGUAACGCCUGGUGCAUGUUGAGGGGAAAGAUCAACGGUAUUGGGAAUUUGGGCUUGGGAUAGAGGUGGGAUAGUUGCAGGGUUUUCAAGGUAGUUAGUGGGGAAUGAAGGUGGAGGAUGCCCCCUGACCCAAGACUGAUGCAUUUCUGCCAUCUGUUGUUUCAACCUUUGGACUUCCCCUUUCAGUUCCUAUACUGAUUCUACAAUCUCCCUUGAUGGGUCUCCA